GGAAACGGAAUUACUUCCUCCAGCCUGAAAUCUCGUCCUGGCCAGAAGUAUGGCUCCGCUGGCGUUGGCUCUCUCCAAAUUCACUUUACACUGAGUGUGCUCUUCGAUUAAAUGGAACAAGUCCAGGAAUAUCUGGUGUGUAAUGUUUACUGGAGCGAGAAAACAAUUCCAGUCAUAUGAUCAAGUUGGCCCAGGUUGGCAGCCCCAAUAGAUAAAAGCGCGCCAUGAAUCAGGAUGCUUGAAGGGAAAGGCCAGGCCAUUGUCAAUGGCUGCGAUUUUGAUAAAGGCCGUGUCCACCAUA
This is a long non-coding RNA of Drosophila pseudoobscura, 301 nucleotides long. RefSeq lists it as uncharacterized. The record is from RefSeq and is a predicted model, not a curated record. The transcript has 2 exons. Lineage: Eukaryota; Metazoa; Arthropoda; Insecta; Diptera; Drosophilidae.